AGAAAAUAAGACAAGCAGCGUUGUCAACAGCAAGUCACUUGACCAUCUCACAGAUGGCACAGACAACAAACAACUUCUGGACAAGAUGGUUCACGCGUCCUGUUUGCCACAGAGCACAGGAGAGAGGCGGGUGCACUGGUCCUUUUACUGGCAGCGGGUUAUGUUUGAGAGGAAUUCUAAUCUGUACAGCAUCCAGUGGACUGAGCCAUUAUGCGCCCUUACAACCAAACUGCUGCAACAGGCUCCCCCUACCCUGCCUUUAUACAUGAUGUCAUCCUGGCUAAUCAGAACCAACUGCCCUUACUGCUGGUGCUCAACUUUACCUACACCUCACUCAUCAUCGUAGGAGCUUUGGUGCAGGAGAAGGAGAGAAACGUUUUUCGUAAAUUUUGGGAUUUGAUGACUCUCGUUGGGCACAAAUUUGACGUACUUUUAGUCGAAAAUACUCAUUUGUUUCCUUGCAACUUUCUACAGCCCUAAGUAUCUGAAUGGGAAUGUGUUGGUGACUGGCUCACCUCUUGCUGGUGCUGGAUGGAGAUGCGAGGAAGGUGUGGAUGUCUGCGGGUUGACCAGUGGGGCUGGGAGGCUCCAUCUGAGGCUCCUC
Molecule: long non-coding RNA, 604 nt
Organism: Acanthopagrus latus (yellowfin seabream)
Lineage: Eukaryota; Metazoa; Chordata; Actinopteri; Spariformes; Sparidae
Exons: 3
Source: RefSeq, a predicted model, not a curated record